AACCUCUGUAGUACAUCUGUUUUGUGCUUCUAGAAUUAUUUUAAUACUUUCUCUUAUUCAAGGGUCAUGAUCAGAGUUCUACUCUUGCCCAGCACUCUGUUGAAUUGACAUUACCCAAUCACCAUCCAUUUCAUAGAGAUUUGCUUCGCUAUGCAAAACUCAUGGAGUGGCUCAAGAACACAGAUUAUGAAAAAUAUGACGGGUUAACAAAGAAUUACAUGGAUUAUUUAUCACGUCUAUAUGAAAGGGAAAUAAAAGAUUUCUUUGAAGUUGCCAAGAUCAAGAUGACAGGCACAACCAAAGAAGGAAAAAAGUUUGGUAAGCUUCUAGGAGGCGUAUAUCUUUCUUUGAUUUUUAUUAUUUACUUAUAAUGGGUAUUUUCUAACAUCUUGGGGCAAUUUUAUAAUGGUCUAAAAUUGUUCACUUUUUGCAAGGUGAAAGUUGGGUAAGAAAUAUGAUUGAUGAUAUUCUUCUAGCUUCCCCAAGGCCAAAGAAUUACAACUGAAUUCUUGUGAAAUGGAGUAAGUUGGAAGGAUAAGAAAUGAUAUUUCUCAAAUUUUAAAUUUACACUCAAGUUUUUAAUUAUCACACAAUCUUAUUACUGUAACUAUCCUAUUUCAUUACUGUAACAAAUUUGGAAAAUCAGCUUUUGGAGUUAAAGAAAGACUGAGCAGCGCAUGUGUUUAUGUUUUUUUCUUCUGCUAGUCUCCUUUUAUUGAGACUUCAGAUUUUGAAGAAGCUAUUUUUAACUUUGAUUCUACAUGAGCAAACUUGUGUGAGAUUUGCUAUGUAGUCAAAAACUAGAUACUUAGUAACUUGUAGGUCUUCCUAUUUGAAGGAGUAUGUGUUCCUCAUAAGUAGAACGUCUAGUAUGAGUAUAGAAGUGAAGCUUUAAAACAAAACUGAAUAAGUAGCAACAACAGUAUAGAAAUAUACAUAAAUUGACUAUAUUGUAUUUUCAAAUGCACAGGUUCAAAAUGUUGAAGAUAUUUAUAUGUGUCACAGUUUGCUUGUUUCCAAACUCUGAAUUCAAAACUAAUAAGUUAUUUCAAGCCUAUUUUGGGUUCUGUUGAUGUUGGAAAACAGAGAAAAGUAAUGAGAGUAAAGAAGUGGGAUAGUGGUGAGGCUUUGAGUAAGGGGGGGAGGGCAGCUGGAAGGAUUAGUCUUGGCGAGCUGUUGGACAUGGAGGACAAGUGGUGCCAUAGUCUGACAUUGUCACAACAGUUAAAUUUCUAAAGCCUGGAAAUCUAUCUUACUGGUAGAACUGGACACUUUUAUAAAUACAACCUAAUAUAAAUUGACUUUUAAAACAUUAUAUCCUAGCACUUCAUUUGUGAUCUGUGUUUGUGAUGAAAUGGUUUUUGUAGCAGUUACAUUCCUGAUGUCUGUAAAUGUUGUAAUCUGACAUUUUGGAGAAAGAGGUCCUUCAAUUCACAAGUGCAAGAGCUGCAUUUGAGAAGGCUUCUGUUGUGUGUUUGUGCAAAUUUUAAGCACAUUUGAACUUUGCACAGAAUAGUCUAGGAAGAGAGUAACAAAGGAUAUUUUAACCAGUUCUCUUGGUUUAAUUUCUUUUAUAAUGUUACGUUUUCAGUCAUACAAAGCUGUCUGCUUGUUUGAGUUUUGCUGGAGAUUGACUUACAUAGAAAACUUGGCCCAAGUGUGCAGUCCUGUGAAAUCUGGUAGGCACCAAUCACAAAGCCAAAACUAAAAGUGAAGACUCUCCUGGAAUUCUAAUGCUAUGAAUGGAAAUUAUGCUAUUAAAAUGGCUAGCAGUGGCCUUGUAUUUGGGGCAACAAGCUAAUUUGAUAAUGUAUUACACCAAUAAAACUUCACUCCUGAGAACUAAUAGUGAUUUUAUUGGUAUCACUUGCAAAGAUGGAAAAGCAAAUUAUCUAUGUUUAAGAAGCUAUAUAUAAGAAGUUAUAUGAAUACGAUUUCAUUUCAUUUAAAUAUCAAGUUAUGUAUUUAGUUUGUAACAGCUUAUAAUGAUGUGUAAUUUCAAAACAUUCCAUAUUGAAUAUAAUGAUUGCAAAGCUACUGGUUGUGCAUUAAUUCAAAAUAUAUCACUUAUUAGCAAACUUUUAAGAAAUAGCGUAGGUGUAUAAUGCUCCAGUUGUACUCAGACACUGAGGAUGAUCUGUGUCCAAGCUGUGUUGGUUUGUGUUCCUGCUUUUUUUUGUGCUUUGGGAAUAGCACUACUCUUUGAAACCCUCAAACGCAGUGGGGAUGCUGGGAGAAUUCUGUUAUUCUGUGCUAAUGCAAGGUUCUUUGUCUGCAUUUUUAUGGCAAAAA
Meleagris gallopavo (turkey) is the source of this 2292-nucleotide non-coding RNA. The record is from RefSeq and is a predicted model, not a curated record. NCBI's taxonomy places the organism in Eukaryota, Metazoa, Chordata, Aves, Galliformes, Phasianidae.